CCUACGGGAGGCAGCAGUGAGGAAUAUUGGUCAAUGGGCGCGAGCCUGAACCAGCCAAGUAGCGUGAAGGAUGACUGCCCUACGGGUUGUAAACUUCUUUUAUAAAGGAAUAAAGUGAGGCACGUGUGCCUUUUUGUAUGUACUUUAUGAAUGAGGAUCGGCUAACUCCGUGCCAGCAGCCGCGGUAAUACGGAGGAUCCGAGCGUUAUCCGGAUUUAUUGGGUUGAAAGGGAGCGUAGAUGGGGUGUUAAGUCAGUUGUGAAAGUUUGCGGCUCAACCGUAAAAUUGCAAUUGAUACUGGAAGGCUUGAGUACAGUUGAGGUAGGCGGAAUUCGUGGUGUAGCGGUGAAAUGCUUAGAUAUCACGAAGAACUCCGAUUGCGAAGGCAGCUUACUAAACUGCCACUGACAUUGAUGCUCGAAAGUGUGGGUAUCAAACAGGAUUAGAUACCCCAGUAGUC
RNAcentral lists this ribosomal RNA (460 nucleotides) under uncultured bacterium. RNAcentral describes it as "partial 16S ribosomal RNA". It matches the Rfam family "Bacterial small subunit ribosomal RNA", at positions 338 to 795 of the family's 1533-position model. The record is from RNAcentral.